UCCACGGAGAGUUUGAUCCUGGCUCAGAACGAACGCUGGCGGCGUGGAUAAGGCAUGCAAGUCGAGCGCGAACGUUCCCUUCGGGGAAUUAGUAGAGCGGCAAACGGGUGAGUAACACGUGAGUAACGCACCCUAUGGUGGGGGACAACCGCGGGAAACCGCGGCUAAUACCGCAUAAUGUCGUUUUGUCGCAUGGCAGAACGACCAAAGGGGGGGAUCUUCGGACCUCUCGCCAAAGGAGCGGCUCGCGCCCAAUUAGCUUGUUGGUGGGGUAACGGCCUACCAAGGCUACGAUUGGUAGCCGGUCUGAGAGGAUGACUGGCCACACUGGGAUUGAGAUACGGCCCAGACUCCUACGGGAGGCAGCAGUCUAGAAGCUUCGUCAAUGGGCGAAAGCCUGAACGAGCGACGCCGCGUGCAGGACGACGGUCUUCGGAUUGUAAACUGCUUUCGACAGGGAUGAAUGAUAUGGAGGCCAAUAACUUCUGUAUUUGACAGUACCUGGAGAAGAAGCCCUGGCUAACUCCGUGCCAGCAGCCGCGGUAAUACGGAGAGGGCAAGCGUUGUUCGGAUUUAUUGGGCGUAAAGCGCGUGCAGGCGGCUUAGUAAGUCAGAUGUUAAAGACCCACGGCUCACCCGGGGGAAUGCGUCCGAUACUGC
RNAcentral lists this ribosomal RNA (660 nucleotides) under Candidatus Hinthialibacter antarcticus. RNAcentral's name for it is "bacterial SSU rRNA". It matches the Rfam family "Bacterial small subunit ribosomal RNA", at positions 1 to 636 of the family's 1533-position model. The record is from RNAcentral. Lineage: Bacteria; Candidatus Hinthialibacterota; Candidatus Hinthialibacteria; Candidatus Hinthialibacterales; Candidatus Hinthialibacteraceae.